GGGUGCAAGGCGGAUACGGCUGGCCGCGCCUGUCUGUAGAACAGUGUUCCCCUUCGGGGAGUCGGGGUUCGAAUCCCCGGGCACCCACCA
RNAcentral lists this transfer RNA (90 nucleotides) under Terriglobia bacterium. Its description in RNAcentral is "tRNA-Tyr". It matches the Rfam family "tRNA". Rfam says of the family: Transfer RNA (tRNA) molecules are approximately 80 nucleotides in length. Their secondary structure includes four short double-helical elements and three loops (D, anti-codon, and T loops). The record is from RNAcentral. Lineage: Bacteria; Pseudomonadati; Acidobacteriota; Terriglobia.